GGGCGGGGCGGGGCCGGGCGGGGCGCGGAGACCCAGCCGCGUUUUGCCUGCUCCAGGACGGGAGAGGCUGGGAUGCGGGAGGAGAGGAAGACUCAAGCUCCAGGCCUGAGGUGGAUUCCCACCAGUCCUAUCCCCAGCACACAUCUCCCUGAGAGCGCCAGCAAGUGAGGCAUAUGGACUUGGUCAGAGAUGGAGGGCUGAGGAUGUGAUGGGGAGAGGAGAGGAGAUAGCCACACAAGCAGGAAGGAGCUUGGAGCUAGCAGGACACAAUAGCGUCACAGAACAUGGAAGGAGGACCAGCAAAGAGACAGACAAGGCAUCCCCACCAGGCACAGCCAAGCCAACUGAGCAGGAUGACACAAGAGACCCCCAGGCAUCGAGAGAGAACCCCAAAAAAGAAAUGAGGAAAUAAAAGCUGGAUUCGAAUCACUGAUAAGCAUGGUAAAAGGUUUAGAGGUAAGAUGUGUACUGAUGUCUGCAACUUUGAAAGGUAUCCAUAAAAAUGAGAUAGAUUGAUAGGUAUGUGAUAAAGCAAAUAUAGAAAACUGUCAAUUUUAGAAUAUAGGUGGUAGGGAUAUGUUCACUGUAAAAUUAUUUCAAUUUUGUUCUGUUUGAACAUCUUAAUAAUAAAAUGUGUGGGGAAAUAAAACCCUGAAUCUUAUCCUGCUGUCCAACACGGAGGACACUGUGGAUGGGGGGAGAGGGAAGAAAUGCCAGAAAGUUUCUGAAUGUGAAGGAGGAAAUGUACAUGCAUAUGAACGCAGGCAUGGAUGGCACCUUACCUCCUCCCUCAACAUGAGUUCUCCAGUCUCCACCCU
Molecule: long non-coding RNA, 818 nt
Organism: Canis lupus familiaris (dog)
Lineage: Eukaryota; Metazoa; Chordata; Mammalia; Carnivora; Canidae
Exons: 3
Source: RefSeq, a predicted model, not a curated record